Molecule: long non-coding RNA, 836 nt
Organism: Panthera uncia (snow leopard)
Lineage: Eukaryota; Metazoa; Chordata; Mammalia; Carnivora; Felidae
Exons: 5
Source: RefSeq, a predicted model, not a curated record
GUCUGCUUCAGAUUCUGUGUCUCCCUCUCGCUCUGCCCUUCCCCUGCUUGUGUCCAGUCUUUCUGUCUCUCUCAAAACAAAUAAACAUUAAAAAAAAAAAAAAGUUAUUUUCUCCUUGUAUUAUCUUCAUUUCCUUCAUCCAAAAAGUUUUCUUCCUGAGAAGAAACUUGCUUUUGACUUUUUUUUUUCUUUUUUUCAGAUUCAAGGCUGUCCUCAAAUGUCUAAUGACUUUUGGCUACUGGUUCCUGAAAUAAUAUUUUUUCUCUGUUAUUGCCCAUGGAAUGAAGACCAACUCAACUCUCAAGAGCAAGCUGAAGCCAAACACUGAACAAAAUGGACAAACCUGAAAUAUGGCACAUCAUGUUGUGGCUGAGAUACCUGAUCUUCAUUUAUUUCAAGUGACGGGACUUCUUUUGUUGGGAGGCCAUUUGAAUUUUUAGUAGUUUCAUCUUUAUUUAAGACGUGUUCUACAAAGAAAACACCACAGGUUUCCCAUCUCUUCUGAGUCUGUGUGGCUCUAAACAAACCUCUGAUAAAUCAUAGUCCGGAAGGACUUAUUUCAACCUGGAAAAGAAUUUAAGGGAGAUACUAUCUCUGAGGCCAACAUGGAAGUGAAAGUAAAAACCUAGUGAUAAUCCUUAAAGAGGAAAUCAAUCUUAAGGGAAGAACAUGAGGUCCAGCUGCUUACUCGUGAAGAUUCACCCUAUACUGUCUUCCUGGAGGAUCCAGAUUUGAUUUUUUAGUAAAAUCUAGCCAGGUUUUUUACAGCUUGGCAAAACUUUUAUUUUUAAGGUUAAGGAAUUAUAAUGUGGCUUAUAAACCAAGGAACUGGGCCC